Molecule: ribosomal RNA, 121 nt
Filed under: Madurella mycetomatis
Lineage: Eukaryota; Fungi; Ascomycota; Sordariomycetes; Sordariales
Source: RNAcentral
ACCUACGACCAGGACACAUAGGUAAGUUCGGGAUCCCGUCCGCUCUCCCCUAGACAAACCAGCGACGGCCAGACUAGUAGUUGGGUCGGUGACGACCAGCGAAUCCCUGGUGUUGUAUGUU